AAGCGUUGUUCGGAAUUACUGGGCGUAAAGGGCUCGUAGGCGGCCAACUAAGUCAGACGUGAAAUCCCUCGGCUUAACCGGGGAACUGCGUCUGAUACUGGAUGGCUUGAGGUUGGGAGAGGGAUGCGGAAUUCCAGGUGUAGCGGUGAAAUGCGUAGAUAUCUGGAGGAACACCGGUGGCGAAGGCGGCAUCCUGGACCAAUUCUGACGCUGAGGAGCGAAAGCCAGGGGAGCAAACGGG
This 241-nucleotide ribosomal RNA is filed under the name uncultured bacterium. RNAcentral describes it as "partial 16S ribosomal RNA". It matches the Rfam family "Bacterial small subunit ribosomal RNA", at positions 536 to 776 of the family's 1533-position model. The record is from RNAcentral.